CCUACGGGAGGCAGCAGUGGGGAAUAUUGGACAAUGGGCGAAAGCCUGAUCCAGCCAUGCCGCGUGUGUGAAGAAGGCCUUCGGGUUGUAAAGCACUUUCAGUGGGGAAGAAAGCCUUGGGGCUAAUACCCUCGAGGAAGGACAUCACCCACAGAAGAAGCACCGGCUAACUCCGUGCCAGCAGCCGCGGUAAUACGGAGGGUGCGAGCGUUAAUCGGAAUUACUGGGCGUAAAGGCGCGCGUAGGCGGUCUGAUAAGCCGGUUGUGAAAGCCCCGGGCUCAACCUGGGAACGGCAUCCGGAACUGUCAGGCUAGAGUGCAGGAGAGGAAGGUAGAAUUCCCGGUGUAGCGGUGAAAUGCGUAGAGAUCGGGAGGAAUACCAGUGGCGAAGGCGGCCUUCUGGACUGACACUGACGCUGAGGUGCGAAAGCGUGGGUAGCAAACAGGAUUAGAUACCCCAGUAGUC
This 466-nucleotide ribosomal RNA is filed under the name Vreelandella stevensii. Its description in RNAcentral is "partial 16S ribosomal RNA". It matches the Rfam family "Bacterial small subunit ribosomal RNA", at positions 338 to 795 of the family's 1533-position model. The record is from RNAcentral. Lineage: Bacteria; Pseudomonadati; Pseudomonadota; Gammaproteobacteria; Oceanospirillales; Halomonadaceae.